Molecule: ribosomal RNA, 554 nt
Filed under: uncultured bacterium
Lineage: Bacteria
Description: partial 16S ribosomal RNA
Rfam family: Bacterial small subunit ribosomal RNA
Source: RNAcentral
UAGGGAAUCUUCGGCAAUGGGGGCAACCCUGACCGAGCAACGCCGCGUGAGUGAAGAAGGUUUUCGGAUCGUAAAGCUCUGUUGUAAGUCAAGAACGGGUGUGAGAGUGGAAAGUUCACACUGUGACGGUAGCUUACCAGAAAGGGACGGCUAACUACGUGCCAGCAGCCGCGGUAAUACGUAGGUCCCGAGCGUUGUCCGGAUUUAUUGGGCGUAAAGCGAGCGCAGGCGGUUUGAUAAGUCUGAAGUUAAAGGCUGUGGCUCAACCAUAGUUCGCUUUGGAAACUGUCAAACUUGAGUGCAGAAGGGGAGAGUGGAAUUCCAUGUGUAGCGGUGAGAUGCGUAGAUAUAUGGAGGAACACCGGUGGCGAAAGCGGCUCUCUGGUCUGUAACUGACGCUGAGGCUCGAAAGCGUGGGGAGCGAACAGGAUUAGAUACCCUGGUAGUCCACGCCGUAAACGAUGAGUGCUAGGUGUUGGAUCCUUUCCGGGAUUCAGUGCCGCAGCUAACGCAUUAAGCACUCCGCCUGGGGAGUACGACCGCAAGGUUGAAAC